Molecule: ribosomal RNA, 279 nt
Filed under: uncultured bacterium
Lineage: Bacteria
Description: partial 16S ribosomal RNA
Rfam family: Bacterial small subunit ribosomal RNA
Source: RNAcentral
UGCCAGCCGCCGCGGUAAUACGGAGGAUCCAAGCGUUAUCCGGAAUUAUUGGGUUUAAAGGGUCCGCAGGCGGUUUAUUAAGUCAGAGGUGAAAUCCUACCGCUCAACGGUAGAAUUGCCUUUGAUACUGAUAGACUUGAGUUAUUGUGAAGUAGUUAGAAUGUGUAGUGUAGCGGUGAAAUGCAUAGAUAUUAUGAAGAAUACCGGUGGCGAAGGCGGCCUCCUGGAUCUGUACUGACACUGAGGUGCGAAAGCGUGGGUAGCAAACAGGAUUAGAUA